Long non-coding RNA from Musa acuminata AAA Group (dessert banana), 1844 nucleotides. RefSeq lists it as uncharacterized. NCBI's taxonomy places the organism in Eukaryota, Viridiplantae, Streptophyta, Magnoliopsida, Zingiberales, Musaceae. The transcript is spliced from 7 exons. The record is from RefSeq and is a predicted model, not a curated record.
GAGACGGAGAGAGAGAGAGAGGCGCGACGAGAACAAGAGAAGCAUGGCGGAUCUGUGUCCUCUUCCAUCUCCCCGUAGACUCAAUGGAGGUGCGUCCAUCCUCUUCUUCUCAAGCGAUAUCUCACUUGCAGUGGCAUCUGAGAUCUCUCAACGGGUGAUAUUAAGAUGGAGAAAUUAACGAUGGAUGAUUGUCGCCGAAAAGGAUGAGCUCUCUAGGAUCCUACAGCAUCAUCUCCAGCCAUCUCUGUGAGCUGCUUGGAAAUAAUAACGAAGGAUAUCUCUUGUUUCUACUCUCUCUCUCUCUCUCUCUCUCUCUCUCUCUCUCUCUCUCUCUCUCUCUCUCUCUCUCUCUCUCUGUGUGUGUGGUGUUGACAAGGUCGAGUGGGUGUAUCUUGCUAGAGUUGUCAUGAAGAAGCACAAAAAACAAGUCCAUAAGUUACGUCGAAAGACUAAAGACUUCUCCUUUCUAUAAUGUUCUAUCAUAGUUGUAUGUUUCUUCCAAAACUAGUACACCGAUCAGCAACGACAUGGAUAUGCAUGUCACGUUAUGUUUGCCUAUCGUGUAAGAAACGGUGCCUCUUCGUCAACCGCUAUAUCUUAUGGCAAGAGGGUCGUAGGGAGACUUGGAUCUGCUACGCAGGCACGAAAGAGAGAGAGAGAGAGAGAGAGAGAGAAGAUUAUUUGGACUAAGGUGUUUGAAUAGGAUUAAAUAAAAAACAAAAAAUAAAUUAAACAUGAAUAUUAUGGUGUUUGAGAAGAACUAUAGAUGUACAUAAAUUAAUCUGCCUUCGAAUUCCAAAUAUAUGCUAAUUUUCUUCAUUAUUUAUACUUGUUAUUUUAUCCAAAUAGUUAGUUCAUCACUGUCAUCGAUGUUCAAAGUCAUGGGUGGUUGAUCAUUCUUUGUUCUUGAUGGAGUCGUCGCAAGACCAUUUCGACGGAUUCCAUCUUCUUCUACAUCAUAUGAAGGCGGGAGGCGAGUGCAAGGCACCAACGACCCGCCCGCUCUCCUCUCCAUCCGGCCUCAUCUGCACCCUCGUCCUCGUUCGCCGGCGACAACCCCAGGGCACUUGAAUUAAACGGCCCUCACAGGUUGGAAGCCAAGACAAAGGAGGACUGGGAGUUCUUCGCUUCCUUAGCCAACUGCAAACACCUUCACACCUUGGACCUGUCACACAACAAGCUGGAGGGGGAACUGCCGAUCCCCAUAACCGAUCUAUCGCCACAACUGGCAUUUAUUGGUUUGGGAGGAAACAAUAUAACGAAUGAACCUACUUCCGCAGAUCUAGCGAGCCUCCGCCCUACUCUUCAGGUGGAUAAGACGGCCGCCACAGCUGUGUGUCCCGACUGCCGAGAUGGAAGCAUAGACGAUUAAUUCGAAUGGCCAAAGUGAGACACCAACAGGAUAGUUUGUCGCUCACUAAAAUGUUUAAAUUGGGCUGAGGCUGUGGAAAGUUAGAAGACUUUGGUGUAAGUUUGAGAAGAGAAGGAAGAUGAAUUGAAGUAGAGGAAGAAAAAGCUUUGCCUUGGCUUGAGAUUUUGCAUCAAUUCCACACCUUUAAGACUCAAAUUUGUUUAAGGCACAUGCAGUCUGCUGUUCCACAUGUGUUUCUGAUAUCUCCCAAUUUAUUGUUCACAAUGCUCUUUUGUACUCUAAUGUUUGUGGGAUAAUAUGAAACAUUGCCAGAAAUGAUAAAGGGAUUAUUUAGACUUUUGUCAGAAAUGGUAAAAGGUAUGUGCUUGGAGCCCGCGAUGCUCUAGAUUAUGUUUAGUGGUCAUUCAAAAAUGGAUGAACCAUAUUAUGUUAUGGUCUCACUUCACCAUCUAUAUGUUUAACGUGAUGUCUA